Molecule: transfer RNA, 83 nt
Filed under: Canis lupus familiaris (dog)
Lineage: Eukaryota; Metazoa; Chordata; Mammalia; Carnivora; Canidae
Also listed under: 1 other name
Rfam family: tRNA
About the family: Transfer RNA (tRNA) molecules are approximately 80 nucleotides in length. Their secondary structure includes four short double-helical elements and three loops (D, anti-codon, and T loops).
Source: Rfam by way of RNAcentral
GCCUGGGUGGCUCAGUGGUUGAGUGUCUGCCUUUGACGCAGGGCAUAAUCCCAGGGUCCUGGGAUCGAGUCCCACUUCGGGCU